This 393-nucleotide ribosomal RNA is filed under the name uncultured bacterium. RNAcentral's name for it is "bacterial SSU rRNA". It matches the Rfam family "Bacterial small subunit ribosomal RNA", at positions 28 to 407 of the family's 1533-position model. The record is from RNAcentral.
GACGAACGCUGGCGGCGUGCCUAACACAUGCAAGUCGAGCGAGAAAAUCUCCUUCGGGAGAUGAGUAAAGCGGCGAACGGGUGAGUAACACGUGAGCGAUCUACCCGGCGGCGGGGGAUAACUCAGGGAAACCUGAGCUAAUACCGCAUACAGCACCGGCUUGGAAGCCGGAUGUGAAAGUUGGCCUCUCGAAGAAGCUGACACCGUCGGAUGAGCUCGCGGCCUAUCAGCUAGUUGGUGGGGUAACGGCCUACCAAGGCGAUGACGGGUAGCUGGCGUGAGAGCGUGGCCAGCCACACUGGGACUGAGACACGGCCCAGACUCCUACGGGAGGCAGCAGUGGGGAAUAUUGCGCAAUGGGCGAAAGCCUGACGCAGCGACGCCGCGUGGGGG